This 603-nucleotide ribosomal RNA is filed under the name uncultured archaeon. RNAcentral describes it as "partial 16S ribosomal RNA". The record is from RNAcentral.
CCCUACCCCUGAAGUACCUCUCACCUCUCCCGGCCUCGAGCCAGACAGUAUCUCCUGAAAGCCUGACAGUUAAGCUGCCAGAUUUCUCAAGAGACUUAUCCGGCCGGCUACAGACCCUUUAGACCCAAUAAUAACGGUUACCACUCGAGCCGCCGGUGUUACCGCGGCGGCUGGCACCGGUCUUGCCCGGCCCUUGCUAUGAAAUGCUUUUUAGGCAUCUCGACAGCCAGAUUUGUAACCUGGCACUCGAGGUUCCCUUAUCGCUGUUGCCAGCAUUGUAAAGUUUUCGCGCCUGCUGCACCCCGUAGGGCCUGGAUUCGUGUCUCAGAAUCCAUCUCCGGGCUCUUGCUCUCACAACCCGUACCCGUCGUAGGCUAGUAGGUACGCUACACCCACUACUACCUGAUAGGCCGCAGACCCAUCCUUAGGCGCCGGAGCUUUAAAUCUCGAUGCAUUCCAGCAAUCGAGACCUAUCGGGUAUUAUACCCAGUUUCCCGGGUUUAUACCCAACCUAAGGGCAGGUUGUCCACGUGUUACUGAGCAGUUCGCCAUGUAUUGCUACAUUCGACUCGCAUGGCUUAGUCGAACCUCGAUAGCAGUAAC